Molecule: non-coding RNA, 794 nt
Organism: Drosophila suzukii
Lineage: Eukaryota; Metazoa; Arthropoda; Insecta; Diptera; Drosophilidae
Source: RefSeq, a predicted model, not a curated record
UCGAACGACGUAAUGCAAUUACCGGUUCCGUCCGGCACUAGGGGUCGUCAUAUAUACGACAUGUACACGCUCUAUAUGGCCAAUUAGCUGCGCAGGAAGGUAAGGGCUGGCUGGCGAAGACAAACAGCAGAUUAAUGCCAAAUUGACCUAUUGGCCGUGAACUUUGCAUUUGGCAUGGUCAGGGUAAUACCACUUAAUUGGCAGUGGUCGGUAGUCGGUGGCAUUAAAAACUGUCAUUCAAUCGAUUCCAAUUAGAGCAGCUUUACCUGCGAUCCACCUGAGUGCAAUCUGCUGUCCGGCAAACGAUUUCCCUUUUGCCUUUUUAAUUAAUAACCGCCAAUCGUGGUCGGAGAUUUUCUCAAUUUCCGGAAUAAAGAAUGGGUAUAAAUAAUGCAGAAAGUAAUUACCGGGGAAAAUGACAAACGCAGGUUUUUCUUUGAUGGCAAUGAAGAAGGGCACAUUAAUUGAAUCUAACAAAUUCACUUAACAAAGCGCUAUUAAUAAGUAUACUGAAUAAUUCCAAUUUGAACUGACGACAAACUUCUGUGAUAUAUCACCACUCAAGUUAACUCAGUCGCAAAGUAUUAUUCAGAAAGUUCAAGUCCAAGGAGCUGGACUUGACACACAUGUGUGUGUACAUGUAUUUUCGGAUGUUUACCCAUAUUCCGGAUUCCAUACUCCAUGUAACACCACCCUGUCGAGUUCAUCGAAGCAAUUACAAAAAGUUUCGCUUGCCUAAACAUUCAAUAUACAGUGAAGCAUUGGAUGAGUGUUGUUGUCGAAAAUUUAAUAGU